GUCUCGGAUAGCUUAACUAGAGAGCCCUUGGCGCGUAACCGAGAGAUCUGGGUUCGAUUCUCAGUCUGGGCU
Molecule: transfer RNA, 72 nt
Filed under: Cotesia glomerata
Lineage: Eukaryota; Metazoa; Arthropoda; Insecta; Hymenoptera; Braconidae
Description: tRNA-Thr
Rfam family: tRNA
About the family: Transfer RNA (tRNA) molecules are approximately 80 nucleotides in length. Their secondary structure includes four short double-helical elements and three loops (D, anti-codon, and T loops). Further hydrogen bonds mediate the characteristic L-shaped molecular structure. tRNAs have two regions of fundamental functional importance: the anti-codon, which is responsible for specific mRNA codon recognition, and the 3' end, to which the tRNAs corresponding amino acid is attached (by aminoacyl-tRNA synthetases). tRNAs cope with the degeneracy of the genetic code in two manners: having more than one tRNA (with a specific anti-codon) for a particular amino acid; and 'wobble' base-pairing, i.e. permitting non-standard base-pairing at the 3rd anti-codon position.
Source: RNAcentral